GCUCAGAACGAACGCUGGCGGCAGGCCUAACACAUGCAAGUCGAACGCUCGUAGCAAUACGGGAGUGGCAGACGGGUGCGUAACGCGUGGGAACAUACCCUUUGGUUCGGAAUAACUCAGGGAAACUUGAGCUAAUACCGGAUACGCCCGAGAGGGGAAAGAUUUAUUGCCGAAGGAUUGGCCCGCGUCUGAUUAGCUUGUUGGUAGGGUAACGGCCUACCAAGGCGACGAUCAGUAGCUGGUCUGAGAGGAUGAUCAGCCACACUGGGACUGAGACACGGCCCAGACUCCUACGGGAGGCAGCAGUGGGGAAUAUUGGACAAUGGGCGCAAGCCUGAUCCAGCCAUGCCGCGUGAGUGAUGACGGCCCUAGGGUUGUAAAGCUCUUUUACCCGGGAAGAUAAUGACGGUACCGGGAGAAUAAGCCCCGGCUAACUUCGUGCCAGCAGCCGCGGUAAUACGAAGGGGGCUAGCGUUGUUCGGAAUCACUGGGCGUAAAGCGCACGUAGGCGGAUCUUUAAGUCAGGGGUGAAAUCCCGGGGCUCAACCCCGGAACUGCCUUUGAUACUGGAGAUCUCGAGUUCGGGAGAGGUGAGUGGAACUGCGAGUGUAGAGGUGAAAUUCGUAGAUAUUCGCAAGAACACCAGUGGCGAAGGCGGCUCA
This 662-nucleotide ribosomal RNA is filed under the name Methylovirgula sp. RNAcentral's name for it is "bacterial SSU rRNA". It matches the Rfam family "Bacterial small subunit ribosomal RNA", at positions 22 to 728 of the family's 1533-position model. Lineage: Bacteria; Pseudomonadati; Pseudomonadota; Alphaproteobacteria; Hyphomicrobiales; Beijerinckiaceae. The record is from RNAcentral.